AAAUUUCCACUGAAUUUUUACUGGAAUGUUUCUAAUGUUUUUUAAUGUUUUCAUACUGCUAAUACUUAUCAUAGAGUUCCUUUAAGCCCUUAAUAGCCCGGCAGCAUUGAUAUAGGCCAUCGUCGUACAUCUGAGGGAAGAUAUGCUUUAAAUAUGUGACAAUGAUCUGGACGAGAAAAAUACCUUGUUGCUUGAUCGUGACGCCAUUUUGGCUAGAAAUCAAAGCGCCUGCGAUUAACUUGACAGCGGUUAUCUUCUCAGGCGGGCUUUCUGUGCCCGAGGGGGGCUCGGUCUACCUAUAAGUCCCUAGGUUCAGGAGGUUUUCGCGCCAAUAAGACCAAACGAGAUGUUUUACUCGGAGUUAUCGUUUGCUAUCUUCUUCAAAUACUCAGCUUUUUCGCGUUUAUCAGCUAGCGAAAAAAAGAUAUGAGUGAAUUGAGUCUGGCAUCUUUUGAGGGAACUUUGAAUGACAAAGCCAACCGACCAAGUUCGAGAAACACGCUUAUCACUAAACCUAAAGUUCUUAUGUCGUUGUUGGAAUACGGUGAUAUCGAUGGAAGCGCUAAAACAGUCAAAGGGAAAUGGCUGCUGCUCAUCGCAUCUUACGCGGAAUUCUCUGUAACAUGUGGAAGCUAAUGACUCAGUUUGAAGUUGGACUACCUUGCAAAACUUGUAAUCUUCCGGAUUGUAUCAUGGCACACCAUCUGUGUACUCCCCAGCCCGCUCAUCAACAUCAUCGGUUUCACAGGUACAGUCUGUACUAUAAAUUCCUCCAGAAAUGCAAUGCUCCAUUUUGGCUUAAAUGGCAGAGUUUACCAUACUCCGUAGAUUAUGCUCACACAGCCCAUUACCAGCUUCCCAAAUAAUCUUCUCCAAGUCUCAUCAUUUCCUUCCUUACAUGUGGGUAAACAAUUUUUAUUAUACCAUAUCUGUUUUUCAAUAUUUUAUAUAAUUUUUUUAUAAUUUUAUCUUAAGUAUAUCCCUAGUUUAUAAUGCGUAAUUCUUGUUGAGCUGUGGUUGAACAGAAGGGUGUAAUUUAGUUGCUUGUUAGGUUACCAAUGUACUUCUUGCUGGUUUCUUUUAUACUGUAGUACAUUUUUACUAAUACAUUUAUAAUCAAAAAUGAAGAGAAAUGGGGGCUUGGGGUAAAACAUAUAUUUGUUUAAUACAUUUACAGUUUAGUGACUUAUUGAAAAUAUUAGAUGAUGUAACAUUAAUAAAUCUCUACUUAAUUAUUACAUGUGAUUAACCCUAAUUUCAAUGGAUUUAAGAAUGCCAAAUAUUGCUCAAGGAAAAUUACUCUGCAUCUUAUUAUUUUUGGUUAAACAAUUUUCUCUGGUUGUCUGCCACAGUGGCACUUGCUUGUCCUAGCUAUCAGAGCCUUAAAAUCCAGGACUGAAUUGGCAACUUACACUCCUGGAAAAUAUUAAAGUUGGUGGCCAUUCCAUAAAUGGUGUUGAUAAGAAUUCCCUUUGAAUGCAGCGUGAGGUUUGAUUGAAGCUUCUCUAGCUUUACAAAUGGAAUCAUGGUUACUUAUUACCUUUUCUAUAAUUAUAAAUUCUAUGCUAGAGUCUACAGAUCUUUGUUUGUGUUUAGAUGGUACUGUACAUACAGUAGAUCACCACAGUUACAUUGAAUGUAGCUGCAUGCAGAGCUCCAUAGGUACAGAAAAAUGCUAUUUUGCUGUGACUCUGUUUUUUGUUCAUAGUUUGGGAACCCUGUGGUUUUGCCUGCUUUGCCACCCUAGCUAUCUUUCUACACUUCCUUGGCACACCUUCCCCACAAAAACCUAAAAAGUGGAAAAACAAUUUGUGAAACUCUCUUACAGUUAUAGACAGUUUGAAUCAAAGAAUCUACAAUUUUCUGCUGUCAAGGUCAGGCUUGUGCUUGGCCCAAUGACCUUUCUGGUGUGGUAACUGGGGUGAUAACUGCUGACCAUGGUUUACAAUUCAGUAUCGUCAUGAUGACAAUAAGACAAUAAGAAAAAGAUUUGUCGCUUUUACAGUAAGUAUCAAAAUAUUACUAAACAAUCAUAAUUCCAUACAAUAUAUUGAGGUAAUGUUACUUGUUCUUACGAAUAGCUUGACACACCCAGCUCUGUGAACUGCUCUAGGUGUGCUAUUUUUGUUCAAAAAUUGCAUAAUUCAGAGUAUGCAUGUGUGAAAUCACAUGUUUUGUUUUGAAGUGGAAGAAACAUUUAUAGUCCAUCUUACAGCUUGUGUUGAUUGGAUUUACAUUUGUGUGCUAAAGCUUCUUGUGUAGAUGGCACUUUGUGUUGCCAUACUGGUCAUACUUUCUGUAUCAGUACAGAGAAUUAUUGCUCAUCGAAAUGGGUUCACACUGAUAGUGCGGAAACGCUAUUCGUACCUGUAAGCUCCGUACAGGUAUAAAUAGCCUGUAUAAUGAUGAUACUAAUUACAAUAAUGACAAUAAUGAUAAUAAUGACAAUAAUGAUAAUAAUGAUGAUAAUGAUAAUAAUGAUAAUAAUUAUAAUACAAAGAUUUUGGCCAAAAAGCGGAGCCAGGUUUAUUACAAUAUUUUCAUAUGGAGCAGAGACGGAUUGAGCUUUUCGCUCAGUGACAAAGGGGGUCAUUAUUUUUUGUUACAUAUGGCUUUCUGGCAGCCUAAACAUAAUGAAGCUUGACCUUCUCCCAAUCACAACUUCUUUUGCAGCACACCCAAAAAUUAUCGGUGAUAUUUAUGCCAAGGAUAUCAUUUACCAAUAGCACAAGAGGAGGCUAUGAGCUCUUAGUGUGUAGCUGCAUUUGAUUAACAAAUGAUACCUUUCUAUGCAAUAAAAUAAUCAGGUCUAAUAUAUAUGUGCCUGGCCAUGUUCUCAGUUCUUAUGUUGAGUACAACUUUGAAGAUCAAGAGACUUGAGCAGAUGUUUGCGGCAAGAUAACCCAAAACACCCAAAUCUACCCAUGAUUAAAAUUUUCAGUCCUUUUUAACACUUUUAUCAAGUUCAAGUACUAAAUUAAUAGAAGAUGAAACAACAUUUUUUUAUACACUAUCCUUCGCCUAUUUUAUUCACAAAGCACAGUUAUCCUUACAGUAAAAUGUUAACCUUUAAAAACCCAACAGAAAAUUUUCAAGCACCAAAGAUUUGCUGUCUUAAAUGCAGCCACAGCAUAAGAUAAGAGUAGAAAAAUCACAGUUUGGACAGCAUUCAUUCAGGGAGGGGCUCCUUAAAAGGUCACACGGUCACAAAA
Nematostella vectensis (starlet sea anemone) is the source of this 3212-nucleotide long non-coding RNA. RefSeq lists it as uncharacterized. NCBI's taxonomy places the organism in Eukaryota, Metazoa, Cnidaria, Anthozoa, Actiniaria, Edwardsiidae. The record is from RefSeq and is a predicted model, not a curated record. The transcript is spliced from 3 exons.